AAAGGGUGCGUAGGCGGGCAAUUAAGUCAGGGGUGAAAUCCCGAGGCUCAACCUCGGAACUGCCCUUGAUACUGGUUGUCUUGAGUCCGGAAGAGGUGAGUGGAACUGCGAGUGUAGAGGUGAAAUUCGUAGAUAUUCGCAAGAACACCGGUGGCGAAGGCGGCUCACUGGUCCGGAACUGACGCUGAGGCACGACAGCGUGGGGAGCAAACAGGAUUAGAUACCCUAGU
Molecule: ribosomal RNA, 230 nt
Filed under: uncultured bacterium
Lineage: Bacteria
Description: partial 16S ribosomal RNA
Rfam family: Bacterial small subunit ribosomal RNA
Source: RNAcentral